Molecule: ribosomal RNA, 198 nt
Filed under: uncultured bacterium
Lineage: Bacteria
Description: partial 16S ribosomal RNA
Rfam family: Bacterial small subunit ribosomal RNA
Source: RNAcentral
GGUCUGCAACUCGACCACACAAGCUGGAAUCGCUAGUAAUCGCGAAUCAGCAUGUCGCGGUGAAUACGUUCCCGGGUCUUGUACACACCGCCCGUCACACCAUGGGAGUCAGCAACGCCCGAAGUCAGUGACCUAACCGAGAGGAAGGAGCUGCCGAAGGCGGGGCAGGUAACUGGGGUGAAGUCGUAACAAGGUACC